AGGAUGAACGCUGGCGGAGUGCCUAACACAUGCAAGUCGAGCGGCAGCGCGAAGAAUUUAUUCUUUGGCGGCGAGCGGCGGACGGCUGAGUAACGCGUGGGAACAUGCCCCAAAGUGAGGGAUAAGCAUCGGAAACGGUGUCUAAUACCGCAUAUGAUCUUCGGAUUAAAGGAUUUAUCCGCUUUGGGAAUGGCCUGCGUACGAUUAGAUAGUUGGUGAGGUAAAGGCUCACCAAGUCUACGAUCGUUAACUGGUUUGAGAGGAUGAUCAGUCAGACUGGAACUGAGACACGGUCAGACUCCGUACGGGAGCAGCAGUGAGGAAUCUUCACAA
RNAcentral lists this ribosomal RNA (333 nucleotides) under uncultured soil bacterium. Its description in RNAcentral is "bacterial SSU rRNA". It matches the Rfam family "Bacterial small subunit ribosomal RNA", at positions 26 to 371 of the family's 1533-position model. The record is from RNAcentral.